AUAUUCCAUCAGACUUGACGGAAUAUUCCGUUGUCUCCUACCUCUGAGCUCCGGCGACCGUCACCGGCGCCAGAAAACUGGGAAAGUUUUAAACCGUGAUAUCUCAGCCAUUUUUGCACCAUUUUUCACGAUCUUUAUACCAAAAUGAAGUGCAUGAAGAAUAGAACAAGUUUAUACCUCUUUCAAGCCUAAAAAACCACGGGAUCUCGCUGGAAAAUUCGAGAAAAACCGGUCAAGGUUGAAACUCACUAUCCCGAUGUCCAAAACACUCCAACGAUACACC
Molecule: long non-coding RNA, 283 nt
Filed under: Malus domestica (apple)
Lineage: Eukaryota; Viridiplantae; Streptophyta; Magnoliopsida; Rosales; Rosaceae
Description: long non-coding RNA (MDOM_LNC002560)
Source: RNAcentral